UUCCAGGGUUCUGAAACUGCCGCUCGCCUCGGCACAGGACUCACCCCCAAGAGACGCCUGGGCAGCACAGCACGCGCGACUUUCUGUCAGGCUUUCGCGCCCGGCGCUCCCUCAGUGACAGGCUGGAGGGGGUGGGCGUUCCGACUCGGGAGGACCCCGCCGCGGCCCCGGAAGCGCCUCAUCCUGGGCGGCGGUCGCCUGGCGGUCGCCGUGAUGGCUACGGGGCUGGGCGGCUGACCGCCGGGCUAGGAGCGGGCCCAGCGCCCAGAAUCUCGGCGGCCGCCGCUCGAGCGCCGCCUGCGCCAUGGCCACCUCCGCCGCCUCCUCGGAGCAUUUCGAGAAACUGCAUGAGAUCUUCCGCGGCAUCCAUGAAGACCUACAAGGGGUGCCCGGGCGGCUGCUUGGGACGGCAGGGACAGCUGGCAGAGAUGGAGGAGGAACUACGUUAUGCACCUCUCUCCUUCCGUAACCCCAUGAUGUCUAAGCUUCGAAACUACCGGAAGGACCUUGCCAAACUCCAUCGGGAGGUGAGAAGCACACCUUUGACAGCCACACCUGGGGGCCGAGGAGACAUGAAAUAUGGCACAUACGCAGUAGAGAAUGAGCAUAUGAAUCGGCUACAGUCUCAAAGGGCAUUGCUACUGCAAGGCACUGAAAGUCUGAACCGAGCCACCCAAAGUAUUGAGCGUUCUCAUCGGAUUGCCACAGAGACUGACCAGAUUGGCUCAGAAAUCAUAGAAGAGCUGGGGGAACAACGAGACCAGUUGGAACGUACCAAGAGCAGACUGGUAAACACGAGUGAAAACUUGAGCAAAAGUCGAAAGAUUCUCCGUUCAAUGUCCAGAAAAGUGACAACCAACAAGCUGCUGCUUUCCAUCAUCAUCUUACUGGAGCUAGCCAUCCUGGGAGGCCUGGUUUACUACAAAUUCUUUCGCAAGCAUUGAACUUUUUAUAGAGAGGGCUUUGUGGACCAGAACUUUGACCCUGUGAAUGAAGUGUGUUGCUGCUGUAGGCUAACAGUUCAAGGAUGCACUGUGCAGCCAGACUGUGGGAGGAGGGAGGAAGGAUGGAAAGCCACUUAAAUGUGAAGGAACAGCAACAAGACCAGUAUGAUAUACCAAGAGGCAUUGUAGGACAAGAUGAGCCUGACCUGAAACUUCAAAGCAGCUCUCAUGUCAAGCAGAUUUGGAACCAAUUUGAAAGGCUCUCACUUUUCACUUGCUCUUUAUACACUGGCACAGCCUUAUUGCUUCUCUCCCCAAGUGCUGGUAAUAAAAUACACUGAAUACUA
Molecule: non-coding RNA, 1291 nt
Organism: Microcebus murinus (gray mouse lemur)
Lineage: Eukaryota; Metazoa; Chordata; Mammalia; Primates; Cheirogaleidae
Source: RefSeq, a predicted model, not a curated record